CGGCCACCGCCGCCGGGACGCCGGCCGCCGCCGCCACGCCGGCCGACAUGGCCACGCCGCAGACGCCGUACGGCGGCGUGGUGAGCGGCGCCCAGCCCACCAGCCACACACGCAAGGCCUGGAAACGCUACGUGGACGCCAUGGAGGAGACGCCCGAGGGCAAGCGACGGCGCGUGAGCACGCCUAUGUCUCAACUGGUGGUGCAGUUCUUCAAAGGACUCCCGAAAGCUGAUCUGAACCUAAAGGAAGACUUGAAUACGUCCAGUCCAUCAGGCCUAGAUAUCAAUUCCAAGGCAGGUUGAUGCGGAGCUGCGGUCGGAAGUGGCGGCCGGCCGCUCGCCGUCGGCCGCUGCCAGCUCCUCCCUCCGGAGUCCAGCGGGCCCCAGCCGCCCGGGGGCGCCCCCGCC
This is a long non-coding RNA of Pollicipes pollicipes, 407 nucleotides long. RefSeq lists it as uncharacterized. The transcript is spliced from 3 exons. NCBI's taxonomy places the organism in Eukaryota, Metazoa, Arthropoda, Thecostraca, Pollicipedomorpha, Pollicipedidae. The record is from RefSeq and is a predicted model, not a curated record.